This 2923-nucleotide ribosomal RNA is filed under the name Klebsiella pneumoniae. Its description in RNAcentral is "23S ribosomal RNA". It matches the Rfam family "Bacterial large subunit ribosomal RNA". Lineage: Bacteria; Pseudomonadati; Pseudomonadota; Gammaproteobacteria; Enterobacterales; Enterobacteriaceae. The record is from RNAcentral.
GGGUUGUGAGGUUAAGCGACUAAGCGUACACGGUGGAUGCCCUGGCAGUCAGAGGCGAUGAAGGACGUGCUAAUCUGCGAAAAGCGUCGGUAAGGUGAUAUGAACCGUUAUAGCCGGCGAUGUCCGAAUGGGGAAACCCAGUGCAAUUCGUUGCACUAUCGUUAACUGAAUACAUAGGUUAACGAGGCGAACCGGGGGAACUGAAACAUCUAAGUACCCCGAGGAAAAGAAAUCAACCGAGAUUCCCCCAGUAGCGGCGAGCGAACGGGGAGCAGCCCAGAGUCUGAAUCAGCUUGUGUGUUAGUGGAACGGUCUGGAAAGUCCGACGGUACAGGGUGAUAGUCCCGUACACCAAAAUGCACAGGUUGUGAACUCGAAGAGUAGGGCGGGACACGUGGUAUCCUGUCUGAAUAUGGGGGGACCAUCCUCCAAGGCUAAAUACUCCUGACUGACCGAUAGUGAACCAGUACCGUGAGGGAAAGGCGAAAAGAACCCCGGCGAGGGGAGUGAAAAAGAACCUGAAACCGUGUACGUACAAGCAGUGGGAGCACCUUCGGGUGUGACUGCGUACCUUUUGUAUAAUGGGUCAGCGACUUAUAUUCUGUAGCAAGGUUAACCGUAUAGGGGAGCCGCAGGGAAACCGAGUCUUAACUGGGCGUUAAGUUGCAGGGUAUAGACCCGAAACCCGGUGAUCUAGCCAUGGGCAGGUUGAAGGUUGGGUAACACUAACUGGAGGACCGAACCGACUAAUGUUGAAAAAUUAGCGGAUGACUUGUGGCUGGGGGUGAAAGGCCAAUCAAACCGGGAGAUAGCUGGUUCUCCCCGAAAGCUAUUUAGGUAGCGCCUCGUGAACUCAUCUUCGGGGGUAGAGCACUGUUUCGGCUAGGGGGUCAUCCCGACUUACCAACCCGAUGCAAACUACGAAUACCGAAGAAUGUUAUCACGGGAGACACACGGCGGGUGCUAACGUCCGUCGUGAAGAGGGAAACAACCCAGACCGCCAGCUAAGGUCCCAAAGUCAUGGUUAAGUGGGAAACGAUGUGGGAAGGCACAGACAGCCAGGAUGUUGGCUUAGAAGCAGCCAUCAUUUAAAGAAAGCGUAAUAGCUCACUGGUCGAGUCGGCCUGCGCGGAAGAUGUAACGGGGCUAAACCAUGCACCGAAGCUGCGGCAGCGACACUAUGUGUUGUUGGGUAGGGGAGCGUUCUGUAAGCCUGCGAAGGUGUGCUGUGAGGCAUGCUGGAGGUAUCAGAAGUGCGAAUGCUGACAUAAGUAACGAUAAAGCGGGUGAAAAGCCCGCUCGCCGGAAGACCAAGGGUUCCUGUCCAACGUUAAUCGGGGCAGGGUGAGUCGACCCCUAAGGCGAGGCCGAAAGGCGUAGUCGAUGGGAAACAGGUUAAUAUUCCUGUACUUGGUGUUACUGCGAAGGGGGGACGGAGAAGGCUAUGUUAGCCGGGCGACGGUUGUCCCGGUUUAAGCAUGUAGGCUGGUUAUCCAGGCAAAUCCGGAUAAUCAAGGCUGAGGUGUGAUGACGAGGCACUACGGUGCUGAAGUAACAAAUGCCCUGCUUCCAGGAAAAGCCUCUAAGCAUCAGGUAACAUCAAAUCGUACCCCAAACCGACACAGGUGGUCAGGUAGAGAAUACCAAGGCGCUUGAGAGAACUCGGGUGAAGGAACUAGGCAAAAUGGUGCCGUAACUUCGGGAGAAGGCACGCUGGUGUGUAGGUGAAGUCCCUGCGGAUGGAGCUGAGACCAGUCGAAGAUACCAGCUGGCUGCAACUGUUUAUUAAAAACACAGCACUGUGCAAACACGAAAGUGGACGUAUACGGUGUGACGCCUGCCCGGUGCCGGAAGGUUAAUUGAUGGGGUUAUCCGUAAGGAGAAGCUCUUGAUCGAAGCCCCGGUAAACGGCGGCCGUAACUAUAACGGUCCUAAGGUAGCGAAAUUCCUUGUCGGGUAAGUUCCGACCUGCACGAAUGGCGUAAUGAUGGCCAGGCUGUCUCCACCCGAGACUCAGUGAAAUUGAACUCGCUGUGAAGAUGCAGUGUACCCGCGGCAAGACGGAAAGACCCCGUGAACCUUUACUAUAGCUUGACACUGAACAUUGAGCCUUGAUGUGUAGGAUAGGUGGGAGGCUUUGAAGCGUGGACGCCAGUCUGCGUGGAGCCAACCUUGAAAUACCACCCUUUAAUGUUUGAUGUUCUAACGUUGGCCCCUUAUCGGGGUUGCGGACAGUGUCUGGUGGGUAGUUUGACUGGGGCGGUCUCCUCCCAAAGCGUAACGGAGGAGCACGAAGGUUAGCUAAUCCUGGUCGGACAUCAGGAGGUUAGUGCAAUGGCAUAAGCUAGCUUGACUGCGAGCGUGACGGCGCGAGCAGGUGCGAAAGCAGGUCAUAGUGAUCCGGUGGUUCUGAAUGGAAGGGCCAUCGCUCAACGGAUAAAAGGUACUCCGGGGAUAACAGGCUGAUACCGCCCAAGAGUUCAUAUCGACGGCGGUGUUUGGCACCUCGAUGUCGGCUCAUCACAUCCUGGGGCUGAAGUAGGUCCCAAGGGUAUGGCUGUUCGCCAUUUAAAGUGGUACGCGAGCUGGGUUUAGAACGUCGUGAGACAGUUCGGUCCCUAUCUGCCGUGGGCGCUGGAGAAUUGAGGGGGGCUGCUCCUAGUACGAGAGGACCGGAGUGGACGCAUCACUGGUGUUCGGGUUGUCAUGCCAAUGGCACUGCCCGGUAGCUAAAUGCGGAAGAGAUAAGUGCUGAAAGCAUCUAAGCACGAAACUUGCCCCGAGAUGAGUUCUCCCUGAGACUUUAAGUCUCCUGAAGGAACGUUGAAGACGACGACGUUGAUAGGCCGGGUGUGUAAGCGCAGCGAUGCGUUGAGCUAACCGGUACUAAUGAACCGUGAGGCUUAACCUUACAACGCCGAAG